GCAGUCGAACGAGAACGGAUAUAGCUUCGCUAUAGUUGUCGGCUAAUGGCGCACGGGUGAGUAAUGUAUAAAUAACCUGCCCUUAAGAAAGGAAUAACAGUUGGAAACGACUGCUAAUGCCCUAUAUGCCUUUAAUACAUAAGUAUGCAAGGGAAACGCUUUAGUGCUUAAGGAUGGGUCUGUAUGGUAUCAGCUUGUUGGUGAGGUAAUGGCUCACCAAGGCUAUGACGCCUAACUGGUUUGAAAGGAUGAUCAGUCACACUGGAACUGAAACACAGUCCAAACUCCUACGGGAGGCAGCAAUGGGGAAUAUUGCACAAUGGACGAAAGUCUGAUGCACCAACGCCGCGUGGAGGAUGACACAUUUCGGUGCGUAAACUCCUUUUAUAUAGGAAGAUAAUGACGGUACUAUAUGAAUAAGCACCGGCUAACUCCGUGCC
Molecule: ribosomal RNA, 440 nt
Filed under: uncultured bacterium
Lineage: Bacteria
Description: bacterial SSU rRNA
Rfam family: Bacterial small subunit ribosomal RNA
Source: RNAcentral